This 279-nucleotide ribosomal RNA is filed under the name uncultured bacterium. Its description in RNAcentral is "partial 16S ribosomal RNA". It matches the Rfam family "Bacterial small subunit ribosomal RNA", at positions 506 to 784 of the family's 1533-position model. The record is from RNAcentral.
UGCCAGCAGCCGCGGUAAUACGAAGGGUCCAAGCGUUACUCGGAUUUACUGGGCGUAAAGUGCGCGUAGGCUGAUUGGCAAGUCGAAAGUUAAAUCCCCGGGCUCAACCUGGGAAUCGCUUUCGAAACUGCCUUUCUAGAGUUUGGUAGAGAGAAGUGGAAUUCUUAGUGGAGGGGUAAAAUCCGUAGAUAUUAAGAGGAACACCGGAGGCGAAGGCGACUUCUUGGGCCAAUACUGACGCUGAGGCGCGAAGGCGUGGGGAGCAAACGGGAUUAGAUA